Molecule: long non-coding RNA, 1135 nt
Organism: Eupeodes corollae
Lineage: Eukaryota; Metazoa; Arthropoda; Insecta; Diptera; Syrphidae
Exons: 2
Source: RefSeq, a predicted model, not a curated record
AGGACUUGUUUUCAACAAUAUUGAACAUCUAGCACCACAUGGAACAGGAUAUACACAUUUGUUUCUGGUAGAUAAACCGAGUUGCGGUGUUGUUUUGUGGCCAUGUCCUUUCAUUUGAACCCGCUCAACAACUAAAAAGGAUAAACUUUGUUUAAAAAUAAAAACAAAAAUCUAAAAAAUUCUUACACAACAUAACCCAGCUCCUCCAACCAUAUCUGUACUUCGACCCUCAAACCGGCCCCUGCAAUUCACCUGAAGAACAUUGUUCUCUGGUAUAAAGAACGCUGUUAAUGAGUACAGGGUGCAGACUCCUACGAAUGGUCGUCAACGGACCACCAAUUUGCUCCUCGUGCUCCUCCUCGGUCGUCGUCAUGGUUGUCGCCGCGCCAGCCGCCACUGCAGCUGCUACCGCCCACAAGCCAUUAUAACUUCUAUGCAUUUGUUACGGGGGAAGUUUAAUGUUUUUUCGUCCUGUGCUCCUUAAAGUUACACAACUAUCGUCGCUUUGUGCUUUUAUUUUGUAUUUUCCUACAAUUUUCUUUUGCUGAUGAUGAUGAUGGGAAAUUGUUAUUGAAUUAAAAUUGUGAAAUUAAAAAAAAUAAAAGAAAAAUUUAACCCCACAGUAAUAAGUGUGAUAAUUGAGUCUAAAUAAAGUGCAAAUGUUUUAAUAGCGUUACUGAGUUACCUUCGAAAAUUCAAUAAACCAAAAAAUUAUCCUUGCUGCAACCAGACUCAGACAACUAUCGGUCGGUUUGACGGCACACACGGCUGCUAUAAAACAUAAGAGACGAACGACACGACACAACGAGACGACUCGAGCGAGCGACGACGCUUUGUUUCCGGUUCCUGUGUAUUCGAUGUUAAUUGGAUUACACCCAGUAACGAAUUUAGGGAUAUAUUGUCGGUUCGCGCCGUAUUGAGUUGAGGUGAAAAAGUGUCAUCGCGAGGAUUGAGUAACUAACUAACUACAUACAUGAACGACAACGACAGUGACAACGCCAACGAUAACGUUAACGACGACGACAUCAACCUAUACAAAUUACCAAGGAGAAGGACCUUAAAUAUGCCUGGGAAUUUUGGUAUUCAAAUUCAGCUCUGAGAAUUUUUUUUUUUAAAAUCAUUCAUAUAUGAAAAG